This is a long non-coding RNA of Sparus aurata (gilthead seabream), 1753 nucleotides long. NCBI's taxonomy places the organism in Eukaryota, Metazoa, Chordata, Actinopteri, Spariformes, Sparidae. The record is from Ensembl.
AGUCCACAGGACACCGACCACAUGUACAGUAAGAGGCCUUACAGCUCUCCACCCAGAGAGCAUGUUAAUGUGAGUGAAGAUUAACCCAAGAGAACAACAUAUCCAGUGUUCACAGCUGUGCACUAAGCCAUGACUUUGUGUGUCUUGAUUAAGGACUAUAAUGACAGCAUGGACUAACAUGAUGUGGUCACCACAACCAGAGACGUUGGUCUCCUGAGUGAAGACGCAUCUUUCCACAGGCUUGUGAUUUUAGGAAAGGGCUCAGCAAGCUGAACACCAUAGAAAAGUCACUAGUGACCUUCAUGUAACGUUCAUCACUCAGGAUAACGGUCUACUGCAACAUCUUGAAGAGGUCAUCGCAUGAAAAAUUACAUCCUCAUGGGCAACAUCAAAGGGCAGGGUGAUCAUUUUCUUUGUGGAGGAUGAGCAGCUGGACAGAGUGCUGGGCUUCUUCACAAGCCUGGUUGAAGCACAGACAACCAGAUGUCACAAUCACGUGGCAUUUGAUAUGGAUGUGCUUCUGCCAGAGGCAACAGUCCACGCCCUUUCAGCUGUCCAUGCAUUUUCCAUUGACAGAGCGACAGAAGUGUAUAAAUGUGGACUGCAGUAUGACUUGAGGUAUGCUACAUACAUAAGGAGAGUGCUAAUACCUAUAAGUAUUGUUUUUUACAUUGUUUAUGACAGCCUUUCUGUGUGAAUUUCCUUUUACUAAUCGCUAUUUUCUUCCAUUUUGUCUCAUCAGUGAGAAACGGCUGUUGGCUCAUUACAUGACAAACAACAUGAGCAAGCAGGCUCUAACAGCAACUAGAAACAUAUGCUGAAAAACUCAGAAGAGCUCUGGACUCUGAGGAGUUUUUGAAGACGCUUUAGUAUGUAUGUACGGAUGAAUUAAAAAAUAGUCUGUGAAAUGAUAAUGUUUUAUUUUAUUGCCAAUAAAAGUUGUUGCUGGCUAAUUCAUUUGUCUCAACUUUUGUGUUUUGAGGUACAUAUUUUAAAGACCUGUGUAUGGUCAUAUUUAUAAAUACAUAAAUACAUUUUAUUUGUGUCAAAGGGCGAGCAAUCUUUUCUGUUAACCCAUAAGAAAUCAUCACCUUAGAGUGAUAAUUAUGGCAUCUGAUGUAGUAGGCCAAGCUCUGUGACAGUGUGGCUCUUAGAAAAACGGCUGGUGGAAACAACCUAUUUUAAAUGAAAUGACUACGACUAAUUAUUAUUAUUAUUGUAAAUAUUUUAUUUUAUUGAGUUUAAAAAAUAACCUUGUGCACAUACAUUUGUCACUUAUAUAAAAAAUGAAAAGUUGCAUGCACCAGAUUUAGCAGUCCUAUAUAAUCUUUUAUCAGAUUAAUCUUUUAUCCCAAUCUUUUAUUUUUUUUAUUACUUAACUUUCUAUUUUUGUAUAUAUUUAUUGUUUCCAGCACAUUGUUUGCAUUGAAAAGCAUUUAAUGUGUGUGUUUAAUGUUUGAAUCAACCGUUAAAGUUGUUAAAAAUGAUCUGGUUAUUGCUUUGUUUCCUUUGUGUUUGCUUUCUAAGUGCUCUGGGCCUCCACAGCCACCGUAGUGUUGUAUGGGCGUGUUUUGUAGGGGGCGUGUUUUGUAAUGGGCGUGGUUUGUAGCGGCUCUGGCUUGGCUGCGGUUGCAGCUAGACCCUUCUCCAUCACUCACGCUCUGGUCAACCCGGAAGUUUAAAAACUCUUACAGGUCAUGAACUCUCACACGCAAUAAGAAUUACUUUUCAACUGCUUUUAAAACAUUCAGAA